GACGAACGCUGGCGGCGUGCUUAACACAUGCAAGUCGAACGGAAAGGCCCUGCUUUUGUGGGGUGCUCGAGUGGCGAACGGGUGAGUAACACGUGAGUAACCUGCCCUUGACUUUGGAGAACUUCAGGAAACUGGGGCUAAUACCGGAGAGGAGCUCCUGCAGCAGGGUGGGGGUUGGAAAGUUUCGGCGGUUGGGGAUGGACAUGCGGCGUAUCAGCUUGUUGGUGGGGGUGUGGCUUACCAAGGCUUUGACGGGUAGCCGGCCUGAGAGGGUGGCCGGCCACAUUGCGACUAAGGUACGGCCCAGACUCCUACGGGAGGCAACAGUGGAGAGUAUUGCACAAUGGGCGGAAGCCUGAUGCAGCAACGCCGCGUGCGGGAUGACGGCCUUCGGGUUGUAAACCGCUUUCGCCUGUGACGAAGCGUGCGUGACGGUAAUGGGUAAAGAAGCACCGGCUAACUACGUG
RNAcentral lists this ribosomal RNA (467 nucleotides) under uncultured bacterium. Its description in RNAcentral is "partial 16S ribosomal RNA". It matches the Rfam family "Bacterial small subunit ribosomal RNA", at positions 28 to 507 of the family's 1533-position model. The record is from RNAcentral.